Molecule: ribosomal RNA, 740 nt
Filed under: uncultured archaeon
Lineage: Archaea
Description: bacterial SSU rRNA
Rfam family: Archaeal small subunit ribosomal RNA
Source: RNAcentral
GGGAUAACCCUGGGAAACUGGGGAUAAUACUGGAUAGGCAAUUUUUCCUGUAAUGGUUUUUUGUUUAAAUGUUUUUUUUUUCGCCUAAGGAUGGGUCUGCGGCCGAUUAGGUAGUUGGUUAGGUAAUGGCUUACCAAGCCGUUGAUCGGUACGGGUUGUGAGAGCAAGAGCCCGGAGAUGGAACCUGAGACAAGGUUCCAGGCCCUACGGGGUGCAGCAGGCGCGAAACCUCCGCAAUGUGAGAAAUCGCGACGGGGGGAUCCCAAGUGCCAUUCUUAACGGGAUGGCUUUUCAUUAGUGUAAAGAGCUUUUGGAAUAAGAGCUGGGCAAGACCGGUGCCAGCCGCCGCGGUAACACCGGCAGCUCUAGUGGUAGCAAUUUUUAUUGGGCCUAAAGCGUCCGUAGCCGGUUUAAUAAGUCUCUGGUGAAAUCCUGCAGCUUAACUGUGGGAAUUGCUGGAGAUACUAUUAGACUUGAGACCGGGAGAGGUUAGAGGUACUCCCAGGGUAGAGGUGAAAUUCUGUAAUCCUGGGAGGACCGCCUGUUGCGAAGGCGUCUAACUGGAACGGUUCUGACGGUGAGGGACGAAAGUUAGGGGCGCGAACCGGAUUAGAUACCCGGGUAGUCCUAACUGUAAACGAUGCGGACUUGGUGUUGGGGUGGCUUUGAGCUGCUCCAGUGCCGAAGGGAAGCUGUUAAGUCCGCCGCCUGGGAAGUACGGUCGCAAGACUGAAACUUAA